RNAcentral lists this ribosomal RNA (484 nucleotides) under uncultured bacterium. Its description in RNAcentral is "partial 16S ribosomal RNA". It matches the Rfam family "Bacterial small subunit ribosomal RNA", at positions 30 to 507 of the family's 1533-position model. The record is from RNAcentral.
AUUGAACGCUGGCGGCAGGCCUGACACAUGCAAGUCGAGCGGAUGAAGGGAGCUUGCUCCUGGAUUCAGCGGCGGACGGGUGAGUAAUGCCUAGGAAUCUGCCUGGUAGUGGGGGAUAACGUCCGGAAACGGGCGCUAAUACCGCAUACGUCCUGAGGGAGAAAGUGGGGGAUCUUCGGACCUCACGCUAUCAGAUGAGCCUAGGUCGGAUUAGCUAGUUGGUGGGGUAAAGGCCUACCAAGGCGACGAUCCGUAACUGGUCUGAGAGGAUGAUCAGUCACACUGGAACUGAGACACGGUCCAGACUCCUGCGGGAGGCAGCAGUGGGGAAUAUUGGACAAUGGGCGAAAGCCUGAUCCAGCCAUGCCGCGUGUGUGAAGAAGGUCUUCGGAUUGUAAAGCACUUUAAGUUGGGAGGAAGGGCAGUAAGUUAAUACCUUGCUGUUUUGACGUUACCAACAGAAUAAGCACCGGCUAACUUCGUG